Molecule: ribosomal RNA, 348 nt
Filed under: Triticum aestivum (bread wheat)
Lineage: Eukaryota; Viridiplantae; Streptophyta; Magnoliopsida; Poales; Poaceae
Description: partial small subunit ribosomal RNA
Source: RNAcentral
CUUGAGGUUGAGGCUUGGGAUACCCUCCUCCAGGACAUCGCCCUCCUCCCUAUAGGCGUUACCUACUCCCCGGACGCCAUCUCUUGGCGACUGGAACCCUCCGGCCGCUUCUCCACCAGAUCCCUCUACGCGGCUAUCGCCCCAUCGACAGCCCCCGAGCCCUUCAGUUUGAUUUGGGACAUCCGCCUGCCCCUGAAGAUCAGGAUUUUCCUGUGGCAAUGGAUCUGCGGCCGCCUCCCGUCCGGUGUUGAGGUCCAUAAACGCCACGGACCUGGAGAUGGGAUGUGCCCCAUGUGCGGCACGGUAGAGGAUGCCAACCACAUCUUCUUCUCGUGCCACACGGCAUAG